CCUACGGGUGGCAGCAGUGGGGGAUAUUGCACAAUGGGGGAAACCCUGAUGCAGCGACGCCGCGUGAGUGAAGAAGUAUUUCGGUAUGUAAAGCUCUAUCAGCAGGGAAGAAAAUGACAGUACUUGACCAAGAAUCCCCGGCUAACUACGUGCCAGCAGCCGCGGUCAUACGUAGGGGGCAAGCGUUAUCCGGAUUUACUGGGUGGAAAGGGAGCGUAGACGGUGAUGUAAGUCUGGAGUGAAAGCCCGGGGCCCAACCCCGGGACUGCUUUGGAAACUGUGUAACUGGAGUACAGGAGGGGCAGGCAGAAUUCCUGGUGUAGCGGUGAAAUGCGUAGAUAUCAGGAGGAACACCAGCGGCGAAGGCGGCCUGCUGGACUGAAACUGACGUUGAGGCUCGAAAGCGUGGGGAGCAAACAGGAUUAGAUACCCCGGUAGUC
This 440-nucleotide ribosomal RNA is filed under the name uncultured bacterium. RNAcentral describes it as "partial 16S ribosomal RNA". It matches the Rfam family "Bacterial small subunit ribosomal RNA", at positions 338 to 795 of the family's 1533-position model. The record is from RNAcentral.